RNAcentral lists this transfer RNA (73 nucleotides) under Paramuricea clavata. It matches the Rfam family "tRNA". From Rfam's summary of the family: Transfer RNA (tRNA) molecules are approximately 80 nucleotides in length. The record is from Rfam by way of RNAcentral. Lineage: Eukaryota; Metazoa; Cnidaria; Anthozoa; Malacalcyonacea; Plexauridae.
GACCGCGUAGCUCAGUUGGCAGAGCAUUGUUCUAGUAUUCCAAAGGUCGUAGGUUCGAUUCCCACCGUGGCCA